RNAcentral lists this transfer RNA (71 nucleotides) under Marmota monax (woodchuck). RNAcentral describes it as "tRNA.Ala". The record is from RNAcentral. Lineage: Eukaryota; Metazoa; Chordata; Mammalia; Rodentia; Sciuridae.
GGGGUUGUGGCUCAGCGGUAGAGUGCUCGCCUCGCAUGUGCGAGACCCUGGGUUUGAUCCUCAGUACCACA